Vicia faba (fava bean) is the source of this 852-nucleotide non-coding RNA. Lineage: Eukaryota; Viridiplantae; Streptophyta; Magnoliopsida; Fabales; Fabaceae. The record is from the annotation of a GenBank genome assembly.
CCUUGUCAUCUUUGCCAUAUUUCUAAACAAAAACGCAUACCUAAUCCCCAUAGUAUUACUCAAUCUAUUAAACCUUUUGAUCUUCUUCAUGCUGACAUUUGGGGUCCUUAUGUUACCCCUUCCAUAUGUAAUCAACGAUAUUUUCUAACUCUUGUUGAUAAUUUCUCUAGGUUUACUUGGGUUAUUUUUAUGACCCAUAAAAGUGAAACAAGGUCUCAUUUGAUGCAUUUUAUCGCCUUUAUUCACACACGGUUUUCUACUAUUUUAAAAUGUUUACGUACUGACAACGACCCUGAAUUUUGGAUGACUGGUUUUUACAAAUCCAAAGGGAUCUUACACCAAAAGUUUUAUGUUGAAUAUCCUCAACAAAAUGACAUUGUUGAAUGCAAACAUCAACAUAUCCUUAAUGUGGCAAGAUCUAUUUUAUUUCAAUCUCAUAGUCCUCAAUUUAUGGCAUUUAUCUAUUGCUCAUGCUAUACAUCUCAUUAAUCGACUCCCUUUCCCUAUUAUUAAUCAUAAAACUCCUUAUUCUUUUUUAUAUAACAAAUUGCCUGACUAUAAUAAUUUGAAAUGCUUUGGCUGCCUUGUGUAUGCCUCCACUCUUUCUCAUAAUCGUAACAAAUUUUCUCCUAGGUCUCGCAAUUGUGUGUUUUUAGGUUAUAAAGAGGGAACCAAAGGCUAUCUCUUGUAUGAUUUAACCACUAACUGUCUUUUUGUUUCAACCUUUCAUGAAAACUCGUUUCCCUUUAAAAACCCUCAUGAUCACCUUAAUAUCCCUCCCAUAUCCAUCAUACCCUUAUAUACCUUGAACCUUUCAAUCCACCUUCUCCUCCUCCUGAACCUAACCCUCAU